RNAcentral lists this long non-coding RNA (208 nucleotides) under Sorghum bicolor (sorghum). RNAcentral describes it as "long non-coding RNA (SBIC_LNC018090)". The record is from RNAcentral. Lineage: Eukaryota; Viridiplantae; Streptophyta; Magnoliopsida; Poales; Poaceae.
GGGGAGAGAGACAAGAUGGAGGAGGUCGGUGGGUUCUUUUGCGUCGUAUCUAGAGUUGUGAGAGUUGGAAGGCUAUUUUCAUUUUUCGAUUCGAUCCCUUCAAACUCUAUGUUCUAUGGUCUGUAAUAAUAAUAACUUUGUAUCAUCUUUGUGUGGUGAUUUGUGGUCAUGGACAUGGUUUUAAUCACUCUGUGUGUAAUGCCUUGGU